This 367-nucleotide unclassified non-coding RNA is filed under the name uncultured fungus. Its description in RNAcentral is "partial contains 5.8S ribosomal RNA and internal transcribed spacer 2". The stretch from base 1 to 133 matches the Rfam family "5.8S ribosomal RNA", at positions 22 to 154 of the family's 154-position model. Lineage: Eukaryota; Fungi. The record is from RNAcentral.
UGGCUCUCGCAUCGAUGAAGAACGCAGCGAAAUGCGAUAAGUAAUGUGAAUUGCAGAAUUCAGUGAAUCAUCGAAUCUUUGAACGCACCUUGCGCCCCUUGGUAUUCCGAGAGGCAUGCCUGUUUGAGUGUCAUUUAAUUAUCAGCCUUAUUAGCUUUUGCUUCUAAUGGUCUGGAUGUGGGGGUCUUUUGCUGGUUUUGCAAGAAAUCUGCUCCCCUUAAAUGUAUUAGCUUGGUGGCCCUGGCGGACUGUCUAUUGGUGUGAUAAUUAUCUACGCCAUUAGAUUUCUGCUUUGCACUGCUUCUAACUGUCUUUAAAGACAAUCAUUGACCAUUUUGACCUCAAAUCAGGUAGGACUACCCGCUGA